RNAcentral lists this ribosomal RNA (435 nucleotides) under uncultured bacterium. RNAcentral's name for it is "partial 16S ribosomal RNA". It matches the Rfam family "Bacterial small subunit ribosomal RNA", at positions 29 to 507 of the family's 1533-position model. The record is from RNAcentral.
AGCGAACGCUGGCGGCAGGCUUAACACAUGCAAGUCGAGCGGGCACUUUCGGGUGUCCGCGGCGGACGGGUGAGUAACGCGUGGGAACGUGCCCUCUGGUUCGGAAUAACUCAGGGAAACUUGAGCUAAUACCGGAUACGCCCUUUUGGGGAAAGGCUUGCUGCCGGAGGAUCGGCCCGCGUCUGAUUAGCUAGUUGGUGAGGUAACGGCUCACCAAGGCGACGAUCAGUAGCUGGUCUGAGAGGAUGAUCAGCCACACUGGGACUGAGACACGGCCCAGACUCCUACGGGAGGCAGCAGUGGGGAAUAUUGGACAAUGGGCGCAAGCCUGAUCCAGCCAUGCCGCGUGAGUGAUGAAGGCCUUAGGGUUGUAAAGCUCUUUUAUCCGGGACGAUAAUGACGGUACCGGAGGUAUAAGCCCCGGCUAACUUCGUG